GGGUCAGUCGUAUAAAGGUCAUUACGGAAGGCUGUUACCUUCUUAUCGUGGUUCGAGUCCACGCUGUCCCGCCA
Molecule: transfer RNA, 74 nt
Filed under: Escherichia coli
Lineage: Bacteria; Pseudomonadati; Pseudomonadota; Gammaproteobacteria; Enterobacterales; Enterobacteriaceae
Description: tRNA-OTHER
Rfam family: tRNA
About the family: Transfer RNA (tRNA) molecules are approximately 80 nucleotides in length.
Source: RNAcentral